GGGCCGUUAGCUCAGUGGGAGAGCGCUUCCCUGACACGGAAGAGGUCACUGGUUCAAAUCCAGUACGGCCCACCA
RNAcentral lists this transfer RNA (75 nucleotides) under Streptosporangiaceae bacterium. Its description in RNAcentral is "tRNA-Val". It matches the Rfam family "tRNA". Rfam says of the family: Transfer RNA (tRNA) molecules are approximately 80 nucleotides in length. Lineage: Bacteria; Bacillati; Actinomycetota; Actinomycetes; Streptosporangiales; Streptosporangiaceae. The record is from RNAcentral. RNAcentral also lists the same sequence under 2 other names.